Molecule: transfer RNA, 84 nt
Filed under: Gammaproteobacteria bacterium
Lineage: Bacteria; Pseudomonadati; Pseudomonadota; Gammaproteobacteria
Description: tRNA-Glu
Source: RNAcentral
GUCAAAGAGCUCACCCGGUUACUCUCCUAGAGUUACCGGGUUUUCAUCCCGGCAACAGGGGUUCGAAACCCCUAGGGGACGCCA